Molecule: non-coding RNA, 77 nt
Filed under: Cylindrospermum stagnale PCC 7417
Lineage: Bacteria; Bacillati; Cyanobacteriota; Cyanophyceae; Nostocales; Nostocaceae
Source: RNAcentral
AGGAGCCGUGUGAAAUUAACGUUUCAUGCACGGUUUUGUAGCCGAGUCAGGGGGGUGACUUCCUGGCUUAGGCAUCC